Molecule: ribosomal RNA, 430 nt
Filed under: uncultured archaeon
Lineage: Archaea
Description: bacterial SSU rRNA
Rfam family: Archaeal small subunit ribosomal RNA
Source: RNAcentral
UACCUGCAGCUCGAGUGGUGAUCGUUAUUAUUGGGCCUAAAACGUCCGUAGCCGGUCUUGUAAAUGCCUAGGUAAAUCGUAUGGCUUAACUAUACGAAUUCUGGGUAGACUGUUAGACUUGAGACCGGGAGAAGCUAGAGGUACUCCUGGGGUAGAGGUGAAAUUCUGUAAUCCUAGGGGGACCACCAGUGGCGAAGGCGUCUAGCUAGAACGGGUCUGACGGUGAGGGACGAAGCCCUGGGGCGCAAACGGGAUUAGAUACCCCGGUAGUCCAGGGUGUAAACGCUGCUUGCUUGAUGUUAGUCUGGCUCCGAGCCAGAUUAGUGUCGGAGAGAAGUUGUUAAGCAAGCUGCCUGGGAAGUACGGCCGCAAGACUGAAACUUAAGGAAUUGGGCGGGGGGGCACCACAAGGGGUGAAGCGUUGCGGUUU